RNAcentral lists this ribosomal RNA (500 nucleotides) under uncultured bacterium. RNAcentral describes it as "partial 16S ribosomal RNA". It matches the Rfam family "Bacterial small subunit ribosomal RNA", at positions 29 to 523 of the family's 1533-position model. The record is from RNAcentral.
AUUGAACGCUGGCGGAAUGCUUUACACAUGCAAGUCGAACGGCAGCACGGGGGCAACCCUGGUGGCGAGUGGCGAACGGGUGAGUAAUACAUCGGAACGUGCCCAGUCGUGGGGGAUAACGUAGCGAAAGUUACGCUAAUACCGCAUACGAUCUCAGGAUGAAAGCGGGGGACCGUAAGGCCUCGCGCGAUUGGAGCGGCCGAUGGCAGAUUAGGUAGUUGGUGAGGUAAAGGCUCACCAAGCCUGCGAUCUGUAGCUGGUCUGAGAGGACGACCGGCCACACUGGGACUGGGACACGGCCCAGGCUCCUACGGGAGGCAGCAGUGGGGAAUUUUGGACAAUGGGCGCAAGCCUGAUCCAGCAAUGCCGCGUGCAGGAAGAAGGCCUUCGGGUUGUAAACUGCUUUUGUACGGAACGAAACGGCGAGCUCUAAUACAGUUUGCUAAUGACGGUACCGUAAGAAUAAGCACCGGCUAACUACGUGCCAGCCGCCGCCGUAA